AUGUCGGUGAGCGCGACGAUGGGGGUGAUGAAGCCCCUCCUCGACAAGCUCGCCGCGUUGGCGGGCGGCGAGUACAGUAAGCUCAAAGGGGUGAAGAAGCAGGCGUCCUUCCUCGAGAAGGAGCUCAGCGCCAUGAACGCCGCACUCGAGAAGAUGGAGCUCAUGGACGAGCUCGAUCCGGUUGCCAGGGACUGGAGGGACCAUGUCAGGGAGAUGUCCUAUGACAUGGAGAACUGCAUCGACGACUUCGUGCGCCAGUUUGGAGAAGGUAAUGCAAAGCUAGGAUUCAUCAAGAAGACUGCUCGAAGCCUCAGGAUGUUGGGACAGCGCCACCGGAUCGCUGAUCGAAUGGAGGAGCUCAAGGUUCUUGCACUGGAGGCAAAUGAACGCCGCAUCAGGUACAAGAUCGAUGAAUUCAAUCCUAAUUCUAGCUCUGUGGCUAUUGAUCCUCGGAUGUCGGCAAUAUACACCAAGGCUGCUGGUCUUGUGGGUACAGAUGGUCCAAAGAAGGAGCUUGUUAAUUUGUUGACAAGUAAAGCAGAAAAGGAGCUCAAGGUGGUGUCAAUUGUGGGAUUUGGAGGACUAGGUAAAACGACACUUGCCAAACAGGUGUACGAUGAGAUCAGAGGGCAGUUUGACCAUACAGCCUUUGUUUCCGUAUCCCAAAAACCUAACAUGACAGGGCUUCUCUAUCGUAUACAACUAAAACUUGGGAUGAAUCGGUCUUCUCGUGUUUGUGAGGUGGAAGACAUUACUGAUGAUCUUCGAAAUUAUCUCACACACAAGAGAUACCUUAUUAUAGUUGAUGACAUGUGGGACCAGUCAGCAUGGAAUACUAUAAGCCGCGCCUUUCCAGAAAGUGCUAAUGGGAGUAGAGUAAUAAUAACCACACGAGUAGAAAGUGUGGCUUCUGCGGCAUGUUGCAGUCGCCCCGAGUUCAUUUACAGAAUGAAGCCCCUCAACAAGCAAGACUCAAAAAAAUUGUUUUUUGGUAGAGUAUAUGGGUCUGAAGAUGACCAUCAAUUUGAAGAAAUUACAGCUGAAAUUCUGAAGAAGUGUGGGGGACUUCCACUUGCAAUCAUUACUAUAGCUAGCCUAUUAGCUAGUCGUCCUGAAAAGUUAAGGGAUGAGUGGGAGAGCAUCAGGAAUUCUCUUGGAACCCAUUUUGCUGUAAACCCCACAGUGGAAGGGGUGAAGAAUAUAUUAAACCUUAGCUACAUCCAUCUUCCCCUUCAUCUCCGGGCAUGUUUUCUUCACCUUGGUAUAUAUCCAGAAGACCGCGAGAUUGAGAGGGAUGAUUUGGUUCGACAAUGGUUGGCUGAAGGACUUGUCAGUAAAUUGCAUGGGCAAGACUCUGAGGUUGUUGCCAAGAGCUAUUUUAAUGAUCUUAUCAAUAGAAGCUUGAUUCAGCCUGGAUGUAAUAAGGAUGGCGAGUUGGUAUCGUGCAGAGUACAUGAUAUGAUGCUCGAUUUGAUCCUAAGCAAGUGUGAAGAGCAUAAUUUUCUGAGAGUUGAAUGCAGUCCUGAAGAGAUGGCAAGAGAUCAUGGCCGAAAAUACAAGGUCCGUCGUAUAUCCAUGAACUUCAGUAAUGGUGGUGUAGCAGAUGAGGCAACAUCAAGGGUCAUCCCUUCUAGUGUAUCACAAGUUCGAUCACUUGCACUCUUCGGGGAAUCCAAGUACAUGCCCCCUCUUUUGCAUUUUAAGCAUCUCAGGGUGUUUCUCUGUAAAAGUUUGGGCCACGAACCAAUUGAUCUUACUGCUAUUAGCCAAUUGGUGCAACUGAGGUAUUUAAAGGUUUCAUGUGGAGAUGAAAUCAAACUCCCUACUAAAAUGGAAGGGCUUGUGCAUUUGGAGACACUGGAUUUAAAUUGCAGCUGGGGCUUACAAAUCCCAUCGGAUAUAGUUAACUUGCCCCGCUUAUCCCACUUGGAAGUUCCAUACGGAACCGAAGUGCCUAAAGGGAUCAGGAAAAUGAAAUCAUUGCACACUUUGAUUGGGUUUUUCCAGUACCCGAAUUCGUUGGAGGAUAUUGAGGGACUCGGUGAGCUUACUAGUCUGAGACGCGUGGUUCUCUCAGUAUCUUCACUAGACCGACUUGAGAUAGCGACAUGGGUUGCUUUGGCGCAUUCUAUUGAGAUGUUGCAUGACCUCAGAUAUCUCGGAAUCAUUGGCGGUGCCUCUUAUACGAGUGACCUGCUAGACUCAUUAUCAAAUCCUUCUCGUCAUAUCAAGGUACUUGAGCUGGGUUGUCUUAGGAUGCCUAGAGUUCCCAAAUGGAUUUGUGGUCUCCAAUGCCUCUGCCGGCUAGAGCUGAAUGUUGACACGUGCACUGACGAGUUGCACGCUCUUGGAAAGCUGCCCUCUCCCGUGCACCUCAGUUUACAGCUGUGGAGCAUCCCUGAAGAUAGCACUGUCAUUUUCUCUGCGGGAUCAUUUCCAGUUCUAGAGUUAUGUGAAUGUAAAUCAAAGUAUGAUGUUACUGCCUACCUGGCCUUUGGGGCAGGGGCUAUGCCCAAACUAAGUUGGCUUGGACUACAGUUCGACAAGAGUAACUGGGGCGGCGCUACACCAGUUGGCUUGGAGCACCUGUUGGAGCCUCAAGACUAUCAUUGUAUACAUCACCUGCGGCCCCGAAGAAGUGAAGGAUGA
RNAcentral lists this ribosomal RNA (2649 nucleotides) under Triticum aestivum (bread wheat). Its description in RNAcentral is "partial small subunit ribosomal RNA". The record is from RNAcentral. Lineage: Eukaryota; Viridiplantae; Streptophyta; Magnoliopsida; Poales; Poaceae.